Molecule: long non-coding RNA, 690 nt
Organism: Ostrea edulis (European flat oyster)
Lineage: Eukaryota; Metazoa; Mollusca; Bivalvia; Ostreida; Ostreidae
Exons: 2
Source: RefSeq, a predicted model, not a curated record
ACUCCUCCACCUGUAAAAUCCCUAGAGGACUUUUCUGGAAAAACAACAGUCUGCGGAGGUGACGAGUGUUCGAAUAGUAAGACCGGUCCUUGGCUUUGGUGCAGUGUGCUACGUUCAGGAGACGACCUACAUAACUGUCACGCGUGAAUGGACACAACUGUACAUUGUUUUGGAACAUCGUCCUAGACUUACUUCGUCAAUAUUCAUUUUGGAUAUUAUAUUUGUGACGCAUGUUGUAAGCAUUGUGUGUUAUAUGUGCUGUGUGAUGUGUGUUUUCAUUCUUUGUGUUUGUGCAAUUUUGGUUUACGUCACGUGACAUCUGAAUCAGCUGAUCGUCAAUUUCCAUGGACAUUUUUGUUAAAUGAGGGAUUAUUGCCACAUCACUUAUUCCCAUAGAAUGGUAUGAUGGUGUUCAUGAUAUAUUCUAUGAUUAUAAUGAAUAAUGUCUGUAUAGUCAUUAUAGAAAAUCAUAAAUAUAUAGUAUCAGUGUUUUUAAGCUUUUAUAAUAUCAUAUGGUAACAUAUAUUUCAAAGAAGUAAUUUGUGUAAAUAAGUAAUACUUUGAUGUAUAUGAUUGUAAAUAUAAUUAUUUGUUUGAUAUGUUUCAGAGUGUCAUACACAUACAUAUACAUGUAUAUCUAAAGCUUAGAUUCUGGCAAUAAAAUGGAGGUGAUCGACAUCUAAGAACCCA